GUUGGUCUCGGGUAGCCGGCCCCCGGGUCGGUGAGGAGAGCCGCUCGCGACGGGGCUGGGGCGCGGCCGGACGAUGGCCGCCCCUCUCCCACCGCGCACCGCAUGUUUGUGGAGAACCUGGUGCUAAAUCACUUGCAGACGACCUGAUUCUGGGUCAGGGUGUCGUACGUAGCAGAGCAGCUCCUUCGCUGCGAUCUAUUGAAAGUCACCCCUCGAUCCAAGCUUUUGUC
This 230-nucleotide ribosomal RNA is filed under the name Tetraodon nigroviridis (spotted green pufferfish). RNAcentral describes it as "partial 28S ribosomal RNA". The record is from RNAcentral. Lineage: Eukaryota; Metazoa; Chordata; Actinopteri; Tetraodontiformes; Tetraodontidae.